This 65-nucleotide microRNA precursor is filed under the name Drosophila ananassae. RNAcentral's name for it is "Dan-Mir-974_pre stem-loop". The record is from RNAcentral. Lineage: Eukaryota; Metazoa; Arthropoda; Insecta; Diptera; Drosophilidae.
AAGCGAGCAAAGAAGUAGUAUUUGUUUGCUUUUAAUGGUCAAAUAUAACUUUUUUGGAAGCUACG